RNAcentral lists this unclassified non-coding RNA (264 nucleotides) under Hevea brasiliensis (rubber tree). The record is from RNAcentral. Lineage: Eukaryota; Viridiplantae; Streptophyta; Magnoliopsida; Malpighiales; Euphorbiaceae.
AAACGAUCAUUUUCAUAACCAAGCGCAAUGUGCAGCUAGCAUAAGAAAGCAGCAGAACAGAGGGUAUACACGAGUUCAUACAAAUAAACUGGUAAUAACAAAACCACCUUAGUACAAACAUCAUCUGAUGUAAAAAGGGCUUACAUUUAUUCCAUAAGACAGUAGACAUAUAUUUACUUCUUUUAGCCUCCAAAUUAGCUGUAAAUUAACGUCGGUUUGUAGUCAAUAACAAUAACUUUGUCCAAGGAAGAAAGGAACAAGUUU